AAGCUCGUAGUUGAAUUUCGAGACCGGUCUACUGGUCGUGCUUUUGUACGUACUGGUUUUAUUGGUUUCUCCUUUCUGACGAACUAUAAUGCCAUUAAUUUGGUGUUAUGGGGAAUCAGGACUGUUACUUUGAAAAAAUUAGAGUGUUUAAAGCAGGCAUACGCUUGAAUACAUUAGCAUGGAAUAAUGAAAUAGGACGUUUGAUUCUAUUUUGUUGGUUUCUAGGAUCGACGUAAUGAUUAAUAGGGAUAGUUGGG
Molecule: ribosomal RNA, 257 nt
Filed under: uncultured Glomus
Lineage: Eukaryota; Fungi; Glomeromycota; Glomeromycetes; Glomerales; Glomeraceae
Description: partial 18S ribosomal RNA
Rfam family: Eukaryotic small subunit ribosomal RNA
Source: RNAcentral